Papilio machaon (common yellow swallowtail) is the source of this 72-nucleotide non-coding RNA. Lineage: Eukaryota; Metazoa; Arthropoda; Insecta; Lepidoptera; Papilionidae. The record is from Rfam.
UCUUAUUUCUAAGUACUAGUGCCGCAGGAGUGAUUUACACAUCUCCUGCUGCUUAAGUGCUUAUCAAUGAGG